GGCCAAGCCUUAGGACGCGAUGUCAGAUUAGCUAGUUGGUGAGGUAAAGGCUCACCAAGGCGACGAUCUGUAGCUGGUCUGAGAGGAGGACCCGCCACACUGGAACUGAGACACGGUCCAGACUCCUACGGGAGGCAGCAGUGGGGAAUUUUGGACAAUGGGCGCAAGCCUGAUCCAGCCAUKCCGCGUGAGUGAAGAAGGCCUUCGGGUUGUAAAGCUCUUUCGCAUGGAAAGAAAACUUAUCUCCUAAUACUAGGUGAGGUUGACGGUACCUUGAUAAGAAGCACCGGCUAACUACGUGCCAGCAGCCGCGGUAAUACGUAGGGUGCGAGCGUUAAUCGGAAUUACUGGGCGUAAAGCGUGCGCAGGCGGUUUUGUAAGUCAGAUGUGAAAUCCCCGGGCUCAACCUGGGAACUGCGUUUGAAACACAAAGCUAG
RNAcentral lists this ribosomal RNA (437 nucleotides) under uncultured ammonia-oxidizing bacterium. RNAcentral's name for it is "bacterial SSU rRNA". It matches the Rfam family "Bacterial small subunit ribosomal RNA", at positions 214 to 644 of the family's 1533-position model. The record is from RNAcentral.